RNAcentral lists this ribosomal RNA (497 nucleotides) under uncultured bacterium. RNAcentral describes it as "partial 16S ribosomal RNA". It matches the Rfam family "Bacterial small subunit ribosomal RNA", at positions 28 to 507 of the family's 1533-position model. The record is from RNAcentral.
GACGAACGCUGGCGGCGUGCCUAAUACAUGCAAGUAGAACGCUGAAGCUUGGUGCUUGCACCGAGCGGAUGAGUUGCGAACGGGUGAGUAACGCGUAGGUAACCUGCCUGGUAGCGGGGGAUAACUAUUGGAAACGAUAGCUAAUACCGCAUAAGAGUAGAUGUUGCAUGACAUUUGCUUAAAAGGUGCAAUUGCAUCACUACCAGAUGGACCUGCGUUGUAUUAGCUAGUUGGUGAGGUAACGGCUCACCAAGGCAACGAUACAGAGCCGACCUGAGAGGGUGAACGGCCACACUGGGACUGAGACACGGCCCAAACUCCUACGGGAGGCAGCAGGAGGGAAUCUUCGGCAAUGGACGGAAGUCUGACCGAGCAACGCCGCGUGAGUGAAGAAGGGUUUCGGAUCGUAAAGCUCUGUUGUAAGAGAAGAACGAGUGUGAGAGUGGAAAGUUCACACUGUGACGGUAUCUUACCAGAAAGGGACGGCUAACUACGUG